RNAcentral lists this ribosomal RNA (253 nucleotides) under uncultured bacterium. RNAcentral describes it as "partial 16S ribosomal RNA". It matches the Rfam family "Archaeal small subunit ribosomal RNA", at positions 474 to 727 of the family's 1478-position model. The record is from RNAcentral.
UACCAGCACCCCGAGUGGUCGGGACGUUUAUUGGGCCUAAAGCAUCCGUAGCCGGUUCUACAAGUCUUCCGUUAAAUCCACCUGCUUAACAGAUGGGCUGCGGAAGAUACUAUAGAGCUAGGAGGCGGGAGAGGCAAGCGGUACUCGAUGGGUAGGGGUAAAAUCCGUUGAUCCAUUGAAGACCACCAGUGGCGAAGGCGGCUUGCCAAUACGCGCUCGACGGUGAGGGAUGAAAGCUGGGGGAGCAAACCGG